RNAcentral lists this ribosomal RNA (253 nucleotides) under uncultured bacterium. RNAcentral's name for it is "partial 16S ribosomal RNA". It matches the Rfam family "Bacterial small subunit ribosomal RNA", at positions 524 to 776 of the family's 1533-position model. The record is from RNAcentral.
GACGAACCGAGCGAACGUUAUUCGGAAUCACUGGGCUUAAAGGGCGCGUAGGCGGGCGGCCAAGUCAGGGGUGAAAGCCCCCAGCUCAACUGGGGAAGUGCCUCUGAUACUGGUCGUCUCGAGGGAGAUAGGGGCGUGCGGAACUUCCGGUGGAGCGGUGAAAUGCGUAGAUAUCGGAAGGAACACCGGUGGCGAAAGCGGCGCGCUGGAUCUCUUCUGACGCUGAGGCGCGAAAGCCAGGGGAGCGAACGGG